UAAUUUCUAGGCACAUACCCUUUAACCUAAUCCCUACCCCUAUAUAAUAGUACUUAAUCCCUAAAUUGUAGAGGACUCUAAAAAAAACACCAUCCGCCAUUUUAUCAAAAAAGAACCCCCUCCCAUUUCAGAUCUUCAUCGUCCUUUCCUCUCCAGAAUUAAGAAAGUCACUCCACACACACAAGCACAAACAAAAAUUGUGGGAGACAGUAGAAGAGAACGACUUUGGCCUAACUUCGUUCCGAAUAAUUUGAAUUUAGGAAUUUGGGUGUUCAAAUCGUAUAGCGCGAGUUCGAGUUCGAGUUCGAGGUUGCCGACGAGUUUCGCGGUCCGAGCUCCUGCUACUAUUGCAUUUCACGGUCAGAUUCCUUUUCUUUUCCUCGUUCAAUUUCUGGCAAAAACGAGUGCAUUGAAGCAAUUUGUAAAUGUGGUUAUUUCUUUAACUAUUAAUUAGUAUCACAAAGUUUUAAUGACUGAAUAUUUGCUUCCCACUAUCUCCCAUGCUUUAUUUAUUUUUGGGUGUCAUUUUUCGUUUGAAGAAUUUGUUCUACUGGACCAAUUCCUUCUCGAGCGGCACACCAUCGCCCUCAAAAAUGGAGAAGGUGCAAUUAACGUAUACUAAUAUAUUAUAUUCGGAUUGUGGCUAGGAAUCAUGCAUUAGUGCAAUUUAGUUUAAACAUUGACUAAUUUGUUAUUGUUGUUUAGGUGCAUUCUCUGUUCCUUUGUGCAAUUUUUUUAGAAUUUGCUCAUUACUUAGAUUAUUGUAGUAUUGUACCUAUUUGUGCUAUUUUUUUAAGGCUGUUGAAUCCCACUAAUUGGUAUGGUAGAAGAAGAUUUGGGAGUUCAAAAGGAUUACUCUUAAUUUGUCGUGAAUCUGGAAAAGCUUUUCGGUUGCUAUGACAUAAGUUCCAAGUAACUUUUAUAGAAAAUGCAACCGAUGACUUGUAAAAUACUAAAAUAUUGUAGAUGACCUAUUACGAAAAGUGAAAAUAUGCUAAUAGUAAAAGAGUAUGCGUUCGCGCAACUUCGGUUAAAUUUUUCUUAAUAAUUAAUUAAGCGCUGUGAAUUGUGUACACGUACACGUGACAUGAUUCUUGACGCGCCAAACAAAUGGGUACACGUACGCGUGACCUAUUUCAAGAUAAUUUUUCUUAGUUUAAAAGCGGUAAGCGAUAAAGGCACAUAGGUUAUAAAAUCAGUAAUUAUAUAAUUUUGAUAAGCCAAGUAUGAUCAAAGCGACCGUGCUAAAACCACGAAAUUUGGGAGUGCCUAACACCUUCUCCAGGGUUAAUAGAAUUCCUUACCCAGAUUUCUGUGUUCGCAGACCAUAAAUAAGAGUCAACUUCCUCGAUUUGGGAUUUUAAACCGGUGACUUGGGACACCAUAAAUUAUCCCAAGUGGCGACUCUGAUUUUUAAUAAAUAAAUAAUCCCGUUUUGAUUGUCACUUAAAUUGGAAAAAACUCCCUUAUACUUCUCUCGGGUGUAGUAAAAAGGAGGUGUGACAAUGCUAAAUGCCCCAAAACUAGCCAAUAAUUAUGCAAAUCCAUUAAUAUACGUUCAAUUACUCAUUACAACCCAAUUUAUAAUAAUUCCUAACCCCAAUCGAAAAGUUGACAAAAUUGCCCUCGGGCCCACGUGCCCAGAUUCCUAAAUUUUUCGAAGAUAUAGUUUACCCAUGAACUNNNNNNNNNNNNNNNNNNNNNNUUUACCAAUUUUCAUGCUCAAAGCUGAAACAAAACCAUGUAUUUAACGUCUAAUGAAUGGGAACAACUUACCUUGAUAUAGAUGAAGAAAAUAUCUCUUCCAAGAGCUCCAAAAUCGUCCAACCCGAAGUGAAAAUGGGUGGAAAUGAACCAAAACUCGAUUUUUAAAGAGAGCCCACUGACUCCAGUCCUUUCGCACUUGCGGCCUCUUGACCGCUUCUGCGGUCCCGCAGGUGCGGACCAAUUGUCGUGUCUGCGGUCCGGGGCUCCAAGCCCAUUUCCGCUUCUGCGCUCCUUCUUCCGCAGGUGCGAUCCCGUAUCUGUGGCAAAAUGACCGCAUCUGCGGUCCCAGCCUCGCCGUCCAUUUCCGCUUCUGUGGCACGAAGGCCGCUUCUGCGGCUCCACACCUACGGCCCUAGUUUCGCAGGUGCGGUUACACUAGCAACCAGCAAUUUCAGCUUUCUCCAAAAUUCCAUUUUCGAUCCGUUAACCACCCGAAAUCCAUCUGAGGCCCCCGGGACCCCAACCAAUCAUACAAACUAGUCCCAAAACACAUUACGGACUUGCUCGAGGCCUCAAAUCAUAUCAAACUACGCUAAAAUUACGAAUCAACCUCCAAUCCAAGCUUAAUGAACUUCAGAAAUUCAAACUUCUACAUUCGAUGACGAAACCUAUCAAAUCAUGUCCGAUUGACCUCAAAUUUUGCACACAAGUUAUAUUUGACAUUACGGACCUAUUCCAACUUCCAGAAUUGGAUUCCGAUCCUGAUAUCAAAAAAGUCCACUUCCGGUCAAACUUCUCAAAAACCUUCAAAUUUCUAUAUUUAGCCAAAUGACUUCAAAAUGACCUACGGACCUCCGAAUUCACUUCCGAUCGCGCUCCCAACUCCAGAAUCACCAUACAGAGCUAUUCCUAGACUCGGAAUCCAAAACGGACAUCAAUAACACUAAAAUGCACUUUAACCCAAACUUAUGAAAUUUCUUCCAAAUGCUAACUUCCACAAUAGGCGUCAAAACGUUCCCGAUUUUUCCAAAACCCGAUCCAGACAUACGCCCAAGUCCGAAAUCACCAUACAAACCUGCUAAAACCUUCAAAUCUUGAUUCUGAGGUCGUUUACUCUAAAAUCCAAUCUUAGUUGAUUCUUCCAACUUAAGGCUUCUGAAAUGAGAAUUUUCUUUCCAAUUUGACCCCGAACUUCCUGGAAUUCAACUCCGACCACGCCUACGAGUCAUAACACCUAAAAUGAAGCUGCUCAUGGCUUCAAACCACUGAACGACAUGAUAGAGCUCAAAACGACCGGUCGGAUCUUUACAAAAUACUUACUAGGAAUGUGUUUAUUUACGUACUCAUACUGCACUUUUUCACUAAUUGUAAAAGUACUAUGAUUGGUACAUCAGGUGGUCACUCAGACGCGUAGCUGCAUUAGCUGAAGACUUAGUGCUGAGAUAUUUUCCAUGUUUCGACCUGCACCACCCGGAGUCUCCUUCCUUCUAUGUUUAUUUUAUUCUGUCUAGUUUUAUUCCAGACUGUAGUCAUAAUGAUUUUGUACUAGAUGCUCAUGCACUUGUGACACCGGAUUUUGGGGUUUUAAUAGAUGUUCAUGAUUGUACCUAAUAUUUAUAUCAUUGUGCUUUAUAUUUCAUCCAUACUUCGUGACUUAGUAAGAAUGAAUGUAUUUUACCAUGG
Molecule: long non-coding RNA, 3390 nt
Filed under: Nicotiana tabacum (common tobacco)
Lineage: Eukaryota; Viridiplantae; Streptophyta; Magnoliopsida; Solanales; Solanaceae
Description: long non-coding RNA (NTAB_LNC017894)
Source: RNAcentral